ACUCAUUAGAGUGGACUUUUGUUAUCUCCAUUGUGCAUUUGAUAAAACUGAGGCUUAGAGAGGUAAGAAACUAGCUUUUUAAGUCAGUAAUUGGCAGCCGAGACAGCAACCCUAGAUCUGUUACAUUCAAAAGCCUCUGACCCACUCCGCAUGACUUCCCAUUCAUUCGUGUUUGCUGUAGUACUACUCUGGGAAACACCAUCUUCAUCUUCCUCUUCCUCUCCACUCAGAAACUUAGCCCUAGAUUAGCAGCGGUCUCUGCUCCCUCCAUAUGUUGAGAAAGGCCUGUUUUGCUGUCCAUGGGCAGAAGGGACCCCUUCAGAAAGCUAUUCCUUAUUGGGAAUAGCAGCUUGAGAUUUUGACUGCACGAAUAUUGCAGGACCUAAUUUUAGUAUUUAAGUUUUAGUUCUUAAAUUCUUAAGUUUAGAGUUAGAUACUCCAAUAAGGCCGUUUUCCAAAAUACCGAGAGGGAAUUAAAUGAACAUAUUUACAUUAAGAAUUUAACGUCUUUCUGGGUGAUAGGAAAAUGAAAAAAAGAAUGUAAAGUCUACAUUACUGCGAGACGAUAAUCUGGCUCCACUGCAGCCAAAGUGGGCCCUUAAAACAUAGAAUCCAUCCCUCCCGGCCCUGCCGGCCGUCUGUGCCUGCCGCCCACGUGUCCCACGUUCUGCACACCUGUAAAUCUUGGGAUGUAAUCCCUUGCUCAGCGUCGGUCCGCCCUACUGUCGGCCGGCGCUCGGGGUAGGGGCGGGAUUUGCAGUUGCGGGAAUCCCAAUUACUGUGUUCGCUGCUCAGGGCUCCUCACUUCCCCUUUAGGGUAAAGGGCGAGGGCAACAGUGGACGGGGUGUGUCUCCAGACAUCCCCCUCAUUACCGUGGCCGCGGAAGCCGACUCGGCACUUGCCGCAGCGGCUGUGGUGGCUACCGGACGGGCCACAGGCGUGCGCACGCGCACCCGCACCGGCGCGCCGGCCGUCGGUCACGUGGCCCCCGGCCAGGGCUUGCGAAGCCGGAAGUGUCCUGAGGCUCGAGGAGGGUGGGGGAGCCCGCCGGCGGUGGCGCGGCGGAGACCCGGCUGGUAUAACAAGAGGAUUGCCUGAUCCAGCCAAGAUGCAGAGCACUUCUAAUCAUCUGUGGCUUUUAUCUGAUAUUUUAGGCCAAGGAGCUACUGCAAAUGUCUUUCGUGGAAGACAUAAGAAAACUGGUGAUUUAUUUGCUAUCAAAGUAUUUAAUAACAUAAGCUUCCUUCGUCCAGUGGAUGUUCAAAUGAGAGAAUUUGAAGUGUUGAAAAAACUCAAUCACAAAAAUAUUGUCAAAUUAUUUGCUAUUGAAGAGGAGACAACAACAAGACAUAAAGUACUUAUUAUGGAAUUUUGUCCAUGUGGGAGUUUAUACACUGUUUUAGAAGAGCCUUCUAAUGCCUAUGGACUACCAGAAUCUGAAUUCUUAAUUGUUUUGCGAGAUGUGGUGGGUGGAAUGAAUCAUCUUCGAGAGAAUGGCAUAGUGCACCGUGAUAUCAAGCCAGGAAAUAUCAUGCGUGUUAUAGGGGAAGAUGGACAGUCUGUGUACAAACUCACAGAUUUUGGUGCAGCUAGAGAAUUAGAAGAUGAUGAGCAGUUUGUUUCUCUGUAUGGCACAGAAGAAUAUUUGCACCCUGAUAUGUAUGAGAGAGCAGUGCUAAGAAAAGAUCAUCAGAAGAAAUAUGGAGCAACAGUUGAUCUUUGGAGCAUUGGGGUAACAUUUUACCAUGCAGCUACUGGAUCACUGCCAUUUAGACCCUUUGAAGGGCCUCGUAGGAAUAAAGAAGUGAUGUAUAAAAUAAUUACAGGAAAGCCUUCUGGUGCAAUAUCUGGAGUACAGAAAGCAGAAAAUGGACCAAUUGACUGGAGUGGAGACAUGCCUGUUUCUUGCAGUCUUUCUCGGGGUCUUCAGGUUCUACUUACCCCUGUUCUUGCAAACAUCCUUGAAGCAGAUCAGGAAAAGUGUUGGGGUUUUGACCAGUUUUUUGCAGAAACUAGUGAUAUACUUCACCGAAUGAUAAUUCAUGUUUUUUCGCUACAACAAAUGACAGCUCAUAAGAUUUAUAUUCAUAGCUAUAAUACUGCUACUAUAUUUCAUGAACUGGUAUAUAAACAAACCAAAAUUAUUUCUUCAAAUCAAGAACUUAUCUAUGAAGGGCGACGCUUAGUCUUAGAACCUGGAAGACUGGCACAGCAUUUCCCUAAAACUACUGAGGAAAACCCUAUAUUUGUAGUAAGCCGGGAACCUCUGAAUACCAUAGGAUUAAUAUAUGAGAAAAUUUCCCUCCCUAAAGUACAUCCACGUUAUGAUUUAGACGGGGAUGCUAGCAUGGCUAAGGCAAUAACAGGGGUUGUGUGUUAUGCCUGCAGAAUUGCCAGUACCUUACUGCUUUAUCAGGAAUUAAUGCGAAAGGGGAUACGAUGGCUGAUUGAGUUAAUUAAAGAUGAUUACAAUGAAACUGUUCACAAAAAGACAGAAGUUGUGAUCACAUUGGAUUUCUGUAUCAGAAACAUUGAAAAAACUGUGAAAGUAUAUGAAAAGUUGAUGAAGAUCAACCUAGAAGCGGCAGAGUUAGGUGAAAUUUCAGACAUACACACCAAAUUGUUGAGACUUUCCAGUUCUCAGGGAACAAUAGAAACCAGUCUUCAGGAUAUUGACAGCAGAUUAUCUCCAGGUGGAUCACUGGCAGACGCAUGGGCACAUCAAGAAGGCACUCAUCCAAAAGAUAGAAAUGUAGAAAAACUACAAGUCCUGUUAAAUUGCAUGACAGAGAUUUACUAUCAGUUCAAAAAAGACAAAGCAGAACGUAGAUUAGCUUAUAAUGAAGAACAAAUCCACAAAUUUGAUAAGCAAAAACUGUAUUACCAUGCAACAAAAGCUAUGACGCACUUUACAGAUGAAUGUGUUAAAAAGUACGAGGCAUUUUUGAAUAAGUCAGAAGAAUGGAUAAGAAAGAUGCUUCAUCUUAGGAAACAGUUAUUAUCUCUGACUAAUCAGUGUUUUGAUAUUGAAGAAGAAGUAUCAAAAUAUCAAGAAUAUACUAAUGAGUUACAAGAAACUCUGCCUCAGAAAAUGUUUACAGCUUCCAGUGGAAUCAAACAUAGCAUGACCCCAAUUUAUCCAAGUUCUAACACAUUAGUAGAAAUGACUCUUGGUAUGAAGAAAUUAAAGGAAGAGAUGGAAGGGGUGGUUAAAGAACUUGCUGAAAAUAACCACAUUUUAGAAAGUGAGUCGUUCUGGAACACUCCUGGUUCUCGCUAUGGCCAUAAGAAGUGACUUUCAUGAGACCUUCAGAAGAAUAGCCCGGCUCUUUUACUGGUUCCCCAAAUCACUGACCUGCUCAAAGAAUCGGAAAUCCAAGCUGCUCUGGAGCCAAGGUGGGGAUUAUCCAGUGCCAGAUCCUCCUUUAAAAACAGAAGUGACGACUGGGCGCCGUGGCUCACGCCUGUAAUCUCAGCACUUUGGGAGGCCGAGGCAGAUGCAUUACCUGAGGUGAGGAGUUCAAGACCAGCCUGGCCAACAUGGUGAAAACCCGUCUGUACUAAAAAUACAAAAAAAUUAGCCGGGCAUGGUGACCGGUGCCUGUAAUCCCAGCUAUUCAGGAGACUGAGACAGGAAAAUCACUUGAACCUGGGAGGCAGAGGUUGCAGUGAGCCAAGAUCAUGCCUUCGUACUCCAGCCUGGGCAACAAGAGCUAAAUUUCGUCUCAAAAAAAAAAAAAAAAAAAAACAGAAGUGACUAUGAUCUAUAAUCACCAAGGGAGGUAUGUGAUUAAGACAUAUAUUUAAAAGUAUGCAGGUCAGCCAUGGUGGCUCACGCCUGUAAUCCCAGCACUUUGGGAGGCCGAGGUGGGCUGAUCACCUGAAGUCGGGAGUUCGAGACAAGCCUGACCAACAUGGAGAAACCCUGUCUCUACCAAAAAUACAAAAUUAGCUGGGUGUGGUAGCACAUGCCUGUAAUCCCAGCUACUCGGGAGGCUGAGGCAGGAGAAUUGCUUGAAAAUCCAGGAGGUGGAGGUUGCAGUGAGCUGAGAUUGCGCCAUUGCACUCCAGCCUAGGCAACAAGAGUGAAACUCCGUCUCAAAAAAAAAAAAAAAAAAAAAUGCAAUUCAUUAAAAAAAGAAAUUUAUAAAAUAUAAGGCCUAGGACAUUUUGAUCUUCUAUUUUUCUUUAAUUUUUUUCAUUCUCACUGUCAAAAUAGGGAGAAUUUAACUUAAUAGUUUAAGUCUCUGUUUAUAUGUACCAUUCUUCAGAUAUGGAUUAGCAUAAUUUGGGAUGUUAGAGCCCCAAGAGAACUUAAGAAAAAUCAUCUUCACCAAUUGCUUCAUUUUAAAGAUAAGCAAAAAGGCCGGGGGUGGUGGCACACGCUUGUAAUCCCAGCAAUUUGGGAGGCCAAGGUGGGUGGAUCACUUGAGGUCAGGAGUUUGAGACCAGCCUGGCCAACAUGGCGAAACCCCGUCUCUACUAAAAAUACAAAAAUUAGCCGGGUGUGGUGGUGGGUGCCUGUAAUCCCAGCUACUUGGGAGGCUGAGCCAGAAGAAUCGCUUGAGCCCAGGAGGUGGAGGUUGCAGUGAGCUGAGAUGGAACCACUGCACCCCAGCCUGGGCAACAGAGCAAGACUCAGUCUCAAAAAAAUAAAAAUAAGAUGAGCAAACUGCCUCCAGAAGGUUAGACACCUUAAUCUCCCAAAACUGUUACAUAGGCAGAACCAGAGCUUUAUCCCAGAUUAUCUAAUUCUUGGUCUGCUGCUCUUUUUAUCACACCACAGAGCAAUGGUGAGUAAGUAACAGAAUGUGAACAUACGAGCCCUCACUGAAUAUUUUACUUAUAGCCUUCAUCAGUAGAUAAUCUAUACCUAGAAAGUUUGAUAAUCUAUUUUUCCAAAGUAAAGCUUAUUAGUUUUCUCAUUAGUUUGGAGAUUGAUAGCCUGAUUCCACAAUCUUUUUACUUAUACACAAUAUUAUGAAAGAAAGAUUUUUUGUUGAGGCCAAGUGCAGUGGCUCAUGCCUGUGAUCCCAGAACUUUGCGAGGCUGAGGUGGGCAGAUUGCUUGAGGUCAGGAGUUCAAGACCAGCCUGGCCACCAUGGUGAAACCCCGUCUCUACUGAAACUGCAAAAAUUAGCCAGGCAUGGUGGCAGCUGCCUGUAAUCCCAGCUACUCAGGAGACUGAGGCAGGAGAAUUACUUGAAACUGGGAGGCAGAAAUUGCAGUGAGCUGAGAUCACACCUCUACACUGCAUGCAGCCUGGGCAACAGAGUGAAACUCCAUCUCAAAAAAAAAAAAAAAUUCUGUUGAAAUAUUACUCUAUCAUAAUGAGAUUAUUUAAAUAUAUGCUUUAUAGGAUUAUAUCCCCUCGAGAGCAAGAACUAUCUUUUCUUCUAUCUCCAGUGUUUAACAUAGUGUUUUGUAUGUGGGCAGUCAAUAACUAUUUGCUUUACUGAAUUGACUUAUGAAGACAGCCCUAUGGAAUUUUGAGUUAAAAAAGAAUGAAUGUAUUCUUAGAAAUCUGCUAAUGCCUGGGGAUCCUUGCUCCACCCUUCUGUGUAGACUAAUGGAUUGUGGCAACCAUCAACAUCAGAUUGUCUCUAGCGUUAAACUCUGUCACUCAUCAAUAUCCUAGAGUCAUCUAAAGAUUGGCAGAAAUAUGUCAAAGUUUCCCUAAGUACCUUCAUUCCGAUCAACCCCACUUGAAAACAUAAAUGGCCUCAGGGCAAAAUCAGUGCAUGAUAUUUUAAUACUAAUUAAGUGAAGGCUCCCAAAUGGCUUUACUCCCUGUAACAGCACAGUUUAGUUGACUCUCCUGCAGCUCUCCUCUAUCUCCCCCAGAAGACAUUAAGUUACAUCAAGGCAUGAUUUAGGAAGAAAUAUAGAAGGAUAGUCGUAAAUCUGAAUUCAGUACAUAUUUUACACUAUGGUCUUGAAGGAGGAGAAUGGGGAGGGCUGUAUGAGAAAAGCCCACAUUCCAUGGCCUGGAGCCAUUUCUAAUCUAGUUGAGGAACCCAAGCUAUAUAUAAAAAACAGAGCUCAAGAGCAUUGUAGGCUGCUGGGAAGAUCAAGGGACUUCAGAGUCAGACCUGGCUACUGAGAGCUGUGCUACUUUGAGAGCUUGUGGGACUUCAGAGUCAGACCUGGCUUGUGCUACUGAGAGCUGUGUGACUUUGAGCAAGUCACUUAGAUCUCUCUGAUGUGAGCUUUCUCGUCUGUAGAAUGUGGAGAUUGAACUUGAUCUUAAAGGUUCCUUCCAGUUUCAUAAAUGCCGUGAAACUAAGAUACAAUAAUACAAAGUGGCAGCAGAGUUGCUGAAGAGCAGCAUGGAGGAAAGUUUCUUGAUGUCAGAUAGUAUGUCACCAUGUCAUUCAUCUGCAGAAACAGGACUGGCAUUGUUAAUUGUCAUAAUAUCUGAGACCUUAUGUAAAACCCUGUUUAACGAGUUUACAUACCAAAUGCAUACAUGCUCUUUUUAAAAAACAAAUAUGAGAUCUGGUGAAACCCCGUCUCUACUAAAAAUACAAAAAUUAGCCGUACGUGGUGGCAUGCACCUGUAAUCCCAGCUACCCUGGAGGCUGAGGCAGGAGAAUCGCUGGAACCCAGGAGGUGGAGGCUGCAGUGAGCCAAGACCAUGCCAGUGCACUCCAGCCUGGGCAAUAGAGCAAGAAUCUGUCUCAAAAACAAAACAAAGCAAAUUUGAGAUCUAGACUCUCCAUAUAUAGGAUGAGCCCUAAGUUUUAGGCUCCUGCUUAUGGAAACUGGCCUCCUUUUCUGUGUAACCUGUUCCAGGGCACUUGGGGGUUCCCAGCAGUCAUCUUGGUCAUUUAAUUUCUGUGGUAAAGACAUCACUUUCACAGCCUAGCUCUUCAUUUCUUUUCCAAAUCAUUACUAAUGCCCAAUCAAACAUUGUUUCCAGGACACCCCCUUGAAAACAAAAGCCUAUCCUAUUAAUUUAUUUUUAAAAAUAUUUUUUCAGCUCCUUUUCAUCAUGACUUAUAAGAUAACCAAACUCUCAGCAUAGUCAGAAAAUCAGAGCUAGAAGACCUAGCUGUUUUCAGACAGUCUCUUUACACUAACAGUUUUCUCUGGUUCUCCGUUUCACCCCUUCCUGCCCCAUGUUUUGGCAGUUAAUGAGAUGUGAUGACUGAAUGAAAGUCUAUUGCUUCCUGUAAGGAGGCAGAUGUAAGCACAUCUGGACAACACAGAAACCCACCUCUCACCACAGGGAAGAAGAGAAAGGAGGGGGGCUGCUUAUUAGACAGCACCCCACUUGUCUCCAGCAUUGUAUGGCUUUCUCAAGGACACCCAUGUAGAUCAGAAGCCCUGAGAGAGAGAACCACCAUGGAAGAACCGGCAGAGGAACACUCUAGCAUGGAUGCUCUGGUGUCUUGUCUGUUGGCGGGUAGGGUGUACCCUCCUAGUAGAAUGUAUUCUCUGUGCAUCAGUGGGGCAAUAGGCUAAUGGACAAGAUGACAUCACAAAAUCUGUUCUAUAUUUAGUGGCCUAUAAAAGCAAAUGAUCAGCCGGGCACAGUGGCGCAUGCCUUUAGUCCUAACUACUCAGGAGGCAGAAGGGUCACUUGAGCCCAGAAGUUCAAGUCCAGCCUGAGCAACAUGGUGAGGGCCCCAUCUCUGAAAAAAAAAAAGGCAAAUUUUCUGUGUCUCUAAGCGAGAGGGAGACAGCUCGAAACAAAUAUGAAACUAUCACUGUAAAAGUCUACUUAUUUUUCCUCUGCAAGGAGAGAGGAGAAAGUUUAGAUGCAGAAAAAAUAUUUUCAUGCACAGAGUUCUUACUAAUGGUUUAACGAUAACUCAGAUCCUUGACAAUAUUAUCAAGCCAUUGUAAUACAAAAAAAAAACAAUAGUUAUUAGUCCCUGAAAUACAAAAGCAAAGGAUAGAGAGGGGUCUCCUACAUUAAAUAACAUUCUCUCUGCUUAAGGCAGACAAUCUAGCCCGUUUUAUUCUGAGGCACUGCUCUAAUGAGCAAUCUUACUCAUAUCAAUGUUCCUCAAAGUGUUCACUACAACUUUAAAUCAUCUUCAAUAAAGUUAUAUCAGAAAGUAGCAUAAGUUUAUUGGAAGACAAUGACAAUCCCAUGAGAAAUUGGCUGAUGGUUGGUCAAAAAUAAAGACAUUGCUUCUAAGUGUUCCUGCCCUCAUCCGUAAAGUGAAGCUGUCCCAACUGCUGACCCAAGAAUCAGCAGUCUCCCAGAAGGUGAAAUGUAUAAACAGAAGCUCUCCCGAAGCAAAUUAUUCAAGCAUAGACAGGGCUGAGAAAUGUUCUCAGAGGCUAACAACAUAUAACAUAUUGGACAAGCAGCUAAAAGACAGGAGAGUUGAUAAAAGCCAGAUUUCAGGCUGGGUGCAGUGGCUCACACCUGUAAUGUCAGCACUUUGGGAGACCGAGGCAGGUGGAUCAUCUGAGGUCAGGAGUUCGAGACCAGCCUGGCUAACAUGGCAAAACCCGUCUGUACUAAAAAUACAAACACCAAAAGUAGCCAGUCAUGGUGGUGGGCACCUGUAAUCCCAGCUACUCAGGAGGCUGACGCAGAAGAAUUGCUUGAACCCAGGAGGCGAAAGUUGCAGUGAGCUGAGAUCAUGCCACUGCCCUCCAGCCUGGGCAACAGAGCAUGACUCCAUCUCAAAAAAAAAAAAAAAAAAACAGCCAGAUUUCACCAGAAGAUACCAAAGUCUGAUUAGAACUCCCAAAUCUCAGGAGAUAUAUAAUAACCUAACACCAAAGGGCCAAAGGAGAUUGUGAUCAACAUCCAUAUUCAAUGCAAAUCCUAUGCAGCUGGAGACAGAGAGGCCUUGGGCAGGUGAGACAUAACGGGUCUCAGAUAUGCACAUUAUUACUGAGGCAAGGCUCCCCUCCCAGUUGCAGCAGCAAGGCUCAAAUCUCAAGAACCUCCAAAUUGUUCUAGUCCAAUCAGCCUAAGCCCCCGGAGACAAACCUGUAGACCAUGCAACCACGGAGAGACCUCACACCAGAGGAACUGUGCGGUAUCUUAUCGAAGGAAAUUACAGAGCUCUUCUAGGAUUUGGAAGAAGGGUGGAAUUUAAGGUUUUGUUUGUUUGGUUGAUUGGUUGGUUUUUGAGACGGAGUCUCGCUCUGUCACCCAGGCUGGAGUGCAAUGGCAGGAUCUCGGCUCACUGCAACUUCUGCCUCCCGGGUUCAAGCAAUUCUCCUGCCUCAUCCUCCUGAGUAGCUGGGAUUUCAGGAGCACGCCACCAUG
This is an RNA transcript of Symphalangus syndactylus (siamang), 9242 nucleotides long. It is a transcript of the gene named TANK binding kinase 1, with no coding region annotated. The record is from RefSeq and is a predicted model, not a curated record. Lineage: Eukaryota; Metazoa; Chordata; Mammalia; Primates; Hylobatidae.